AAAAUGCGAUACUUGGUGUGAAUUGCAGAAUCCCGUGAACCAUCGAGUUUUUGAACGCAAGUUGCGCCCGAAGCCAUCCGGCUGAUGGCACGCCUGCCUGGGCGUCACGCAUCGCGUCGCUCCCCACCACACCUCCCCAACGGGUUGGCAUGGUGUUGGGGGCGGAUAAUGGCCUCCCGUGCUUGUGUUUCGGUUGGCCUAAAUAAGAGUUCCCUUCGGCGGACACACGACUAGUGGUGGUUGAAUAGACCCUCGUCUUUUGUUGCGUGUCGUGAGCUGUAAGGGUAGCCCUCAUCAAAGACCCCAUUGUAUCGUCUUCGGAUGAUGCUUCGACCGCGACCCCAGGUCAGGCGGGACUACCCGCUGAGUUUAAGC
RNAcentral lists this unclassified non-coding RNA (375 nucleotides) under plant metagenome. RNAcentral's name for it is "partial contains 5.8S ribosomal RNA, internal transcribed spacer 2, and large subunit ribosomal RNA". The stretch from base 1 to 107 matches the Rfam family "5.8S ribosomal RNA", at positions 50 to 154 of the family's 154-position model. The record is from RNAcentral.